Molecule: ribosomal RNA, 726 nt
Filed under: Kocuria sp. AE16
Lineage: Bacteria; Bacillati; Actinomycetota; Actinomycetes; Micrococcales; Micrococcaceae
Description: bacterial SSU rRNA
Rfam family: Bacterial small subunit ribosomal RNA
Source: RNAcentral
CGAUGAUCUCCCGCUUGCGGGGGUGAUUAGUGGCGAACGGGUGAGUAAUACGUGAGUAACCUGCCCUUGACUCUGGGAUAAGCCUGGGAAACCGGGUCUAAUACUGGAUACGACCUCCUGUCGCAUGGUGGGGGGUGGAAAGGGUUUGACUGGUUUUGGAUGGGCUCACGGCCUAUCAGCUUGUUGGUGGGGUAAUGGCUCACCAAGGCGACGACGGGUAGCCGGCCUGAGAGGGUGACCGGCCACACUGGGACUGAGACACGGCCCAGACUCCUACGGGAGGCAGCAGUGGGGAAUAUUGCACAAUGGGCGGAAGCCUGAUGCAGCGACGCCGCGUGAGGGAUGACGGCCUUCGGGUUGUAAACCUCUUUCAGCAGGGAAGAAGCCACAAGUGACGGUACCUGCAGAAGAAGCGCCGGCUAACUACGUGCCAGCAGCCGCGGUAAUACGUAGGGCGCAAGCGUUGUCCGGAAUUAUUGGGCGUAAAGAGCUCGUAGGCGGUUUGUCGCGUCUGCUGUGAAAGCCCGGGGCUCAACCCCGGGUCUGCAGUGGGUACGGGCAGACUAGAGUGCAGUAGGGGAGACUGGAAUUCCUGGUGUAGCGGUGAAAUGCGCAGAUAUCAGGAGGAACACCGAUGGCGAAGGCAGGUCUCUGGGCUGUUACUGACGCUGAGGAGCGAAAGCAUGGGGAGCGAACAGGAUUAGAUACCCUGGUAGUCCAUGCCGU